GUGAUAGCGGAGCACCAUUGGAAUACCGACUUUCUCUCCUGAAACCACUAACGGCACCAAAAGUGUCGGACACCCGCAAGUGGGCAGUUUGGCUGGGGCGGCUCUCUCUAGAAAAAAUAUCUAGAGAAACCAAUGGUCAGCUCAAGCGGGUCAGGAAUCCGCUGAAGAGUUUAAGAGCAAAAGCUGGCCUGACUGGAUCUUGAUUACCAAGAGAUCCUGAGGCUAACGCCUGGUCUAGCGAUCCUUAAUUGGUCUCGUGUGGACGAUUGAGGUGAUAGAAAAAUUACCCCGGGGGUAACAGAGUUGUCACGAGUAAGAGUUCCUAUCGACCUCGUGGCUUGNNNNNNNNNNCUGCCAAGGGUGGGGCUGUACGCCCAUUAAAAGGGAACGUGAGCUGGGUUUAGACCGUCGUGAGACAGGUCGGAUUCUAUCUACCAGGUAUGUUGGAUGACUGAGGGAAAGGGAAAAUCAGUACGAGAGGAACAUUUUGCCGGCGCCUCUGGUGUACCGGUUGUUCGACAGAGCAUUGCCGGGCAGCUACGCGCCAACGGAUAAGUGCUGAAAGCAUCUAAGCACGAAGCUGAUCCCGAAAAUAGUCAUCCCAUCUUAAUUUAUAGCGAGCGUGAAGCUCGCGGUGUAUUUACGUCGUCUUUGUUGGUAAGGUUUUCCUGUGAAGACUAGAAGCCAACAAGAUAAAGGUAUUCGAGUAAUCGAGACAUUUAUAAGACAUGAUGUUAAUGGAUUGCGAGUUUUCAUGACGAGAGUGGGGCGCGGUGACGCGAACCAUGUAAUUGAGACGAGCGCACCCGUAGAAGACGGGGUUGGUGAGAUGGGGGUGUACGUAGGGAGCUUUAGGGCGACCUAUUCAGCCCGCCAUUCUCAACAGCGCGAGCGUGUGGCAAA
RNAcentral lists this ribosomal RNA (903 nucleotides) under Promethearchaeota archaeon. RNAcentral's name for it is "Candidatus Lokiarchaeota archaeon (permafrost metagenome) partial 23S ribosomal RNA". It matches the Rfam family "Archaeal large subunit ribosomal RNA", at positions 2252 to 2987 of the family's 2987-position model. Lineage: Archaea; Promethearchaeati; Promethearchaeota. The record is from RNAcentral.